UACGUAGGGGGCAAGCGUUGUCCGGAAUCAUUGGGCGUAAAGAGCGUGUAGGCGGCUCGGUAAGUCCGCUGUGAAAGUCCAGGGCUCAACCCUGGAAUGCCGGUGGAAACUGUCGAGCUAGAGUCCGGAAGAGGCGAGUGGAAUUCCUGGUGUAGCGGUGAAAUGCGCAGAUAUCAGGAGGAACACCAAUUGCGAAGGCAGCUCGCUGGGACGUAACUGACGCUGAGACGCGAAAGCGUGGGGAGCAAACAGG
RNAcentral lists this ribosomal RNA (253 nucleotides) under uncultured bacterium. RNAcentral's name for it is "partial 16S ribosomal RNA". It matches the Rfam family "Bacterial small subunit ribosomal RNA", at positions 524 to 776 of the family's 1533-position model. The record is from RNAcentral.